RNAcentral lists this unclassified non-coding RNA (345 nucleotides) under soil metagenome. RNAcentral describes it as "partial contains 5.8S ribosomal RNA, internal transcribed spacer 2, and large subunit ribosomal RNA". The stretch from base 1 to 120 matches the Rfam family "5.8S ribosomal RNA", at positions 35 to 154 of the family's 154-position model. The record is from RNAcentral.
GAUGAAGAACGCAGCGAAAUGCGAUAAGUAGUGUGAAUUGCAGAAUUCAGUGAAUCAUCGAAUCUUUGAACGCACAUUGCGCCCGCCAGUAUUCUGGCGGGCAUGCCUGUCCGAGCGUCAUUUCAACCCUCAAGCCCCCGGGCUUGGUGUUGGAGAUCGGCGAGCCCCCCGGGGCGCGCCGUCUCCCAAAUAUAGUGGCGGUCCCGCUGUAGCUUCCUCUGCGUAGUAGCACACCUCGCACUGGGAAACAGCGUGGCCACGCCGUAAAACCCCCCACUUCUGAAAGGUUGACCUCGGAUCAGGUAGGAAUACCCGCUGAACUUAAGCAUAUCAAUAAGCGGAGGA